CCUACGGGAGGCAGCAGUAGGGAAUCUUCCGCAAUGGACGAAAGUCUGACGGAGCAACGCCGCGUGAGUGAUGAAGGUUUUCGGAUCGUAAAGCUCUGUUGUUAGGGAAGAACAAGUGCCGUUCAAAUAGGGCGGCACCUUGACGGUACCUAACCAGAAAGCCACGGCUAACUACGUGCCAGCAGCCGCGGUAAUACGUAGGUGGCAAGCGUUGUCCGGAAUUAUUGGGCGUAAAGGGCUCGCAGGCGGUUUCUUAAGUCUGAUGUGAAAGCCCCCGGCUCAACCGGGGAGGGUCAUUGGAAACUGGGGAACUUGAGUGCAGAAGAGGAGAGUGGAAUUCCACGUGUAGCGGUGAAAUGCGUAGAGAUGUGGAGGAACACCAGUGGCGAAGGCGACUCUCUGGUCUGUAACUGACGCUGAGGAGCGAAAGCGUGGGGAGCGAACAGGAUUAGAUACCCUGGUAGUCCACGCCGUAAACGAUGAGUGCUAAGUGUUAGGGGGUUUCCGCCCCUUAGUGCUGCAGCUAACGCAUUAAGCACUCCGCCUGGGGAGUACGGUCGCAAGACUGAAACUCAAAGGAAUUGACGG
This 588-nucleotide ribosomal RNA is filed under the name Bacillus amyloliquefaciens. Its description in RNAcentral is "bacterial SSU rRNA". It matches the Rfam family "Bacterial small subunit ribosomal RNA", at positions 338 to 916 of the family's 1533-position model. The record is from RNAcentral. Lineage: Bacteria; Bacillati; Bacillota; Bacilli; Caryophanales; Bacillaceae.